CGGGCGGACGGGUGAGUAACGCGUGGGUAACCUGCCUCAUACAGGGGGAUAACAGUUAGAAAUGACUGCUAAUACCGCAUAAGACCACAGCACCGCAUGGUGCGGGGGUAAAAACUCCGGUGGUAUGAGAUGGACCCGCGUCUGAUUAGCUAGUUGGUAAGGUAACGGCUUACCAAGGCGACGAUCAGUAGCCGACCUGAGAGGGUGACCGGCCACAUUGGGACUGAGACACGGCCCAG
This 239-nucleotide ribosomal RNA is filed under the name uncultured bacterium. Its description in RNAcentral is "partial 16S ribosomal RNA". It matches the Rfam family "Bacterial small subunit ribosomal RNA", at positions 95 to 334 of the family's 1533-position model. The record is from RNAcentral.